CCCUUAGAUGUUCUGGGCCGCACGCGUGCUACACUGAGUGGAUCAGCGGGUCAGGUUACGCGAGAGCGUUUCCUAAUCUUCAAAUCCGCUCGUGAUGGGGAUUGACGGUUGCAACUUUCCGUCAUGAACGAGGAAUACCUUGUAAGCGCGGGUCAUCAUCCCGCGCUGAAUACGUCCCUGCCCUUUGUACACACCGCCCGUCGCUCCUACCGAUUGAGUGGUCCGGUGAGGCUUUGGGAUCUAAGCGAAAAGAGCGUUUCGCUCCUUUUGCUGGGAGAACUCAGUCGAACCUUAUCAUUUAGAGGAAGGAGAAGCCGUAACA
This 322-nucleotide ribosomal RNA is filed under the name uncultured eukaryote. Its description in RNAcentral is "partial 18S ribosomal RNA". It matches the Rfam family "Eukaryotic small subunit ribosomal RNA", at positions 1470 to 1796 of the family's 1831-position model. The record is from RNAcentral.